UUACUAUAUAACCACACCCACCGCAUUGCAGAAGCCACGAGCUGGGGAGAGGCGAAGUGGGGAAGGAGGGAGGGGAGAGAAGGAACAAGCAGGAACCCACGGGCGAGGCGGGGCGAGACAUAGCACGAUGCCAAGGCCACUUCCCAGGCACGGGCUGAGGGCGGAAGCUUCUUUCCCCGCGCCUGCGGCAGACUCUGCAAAGGAGUUAACCGCCCAAAGUUGAAGGAGGCCCAGCAGCAGCUCUUUACUAUUUCCGUGUUGCCCUUUCUGAGAAGUGCAACCAACAGGCAUGAUCGGAAGAGCAUGUUCAUUAUGCACUUCAAUUCAAGAGGCCAAUUAACUGCUUGUUGCUAAGUACAGACUGAGUACACAAGAAAAUGCCAAUGUGAGUACCCCCACACGUGUCAAUGUAGGAGAGUUAUUAUUUAUGAAUUCCCUUUUGUAUGUACCAAGAUGAUUUACAAAACAUAUAAUAAAAACAGCUAAAAUUAGUUUUUAAAACAGUACAAAAAUAACUCAAGAUGGUUUAUAAGCAAUACAACUAAGGCAGAAACCUUUGCAUCCAGUUGGGAAAAGCUUGUUGAGACAAAAAAAGUCUUCAGUUGUUUUCAGAAAGUGCAGAUAGUGGCCAUGUGUUGUACCUCAACAGGGAUGCUGUUGCACAGAACAGGGGAAGCCACACCAAAAACCUCUGCCCUGAGUUACUGUGGAGCAGGCUUCUGAUACUUUGAGGACUUGAAGGAGAAAGUCACUCUAGCCAUCAUCCAGGCUGUUUCCUAGCAUGUCGCGCUGCACUAUACCAGGUAGCAAAACGUGCUCCACAGUGUUAGAAUGGGCGCUAAGGAUUGCACUGUUCCACAGCAAGAUUAGGGCUUCUGCAGCUCUAUGCUCCACAAAUAAGGCACAUUCUUAAAAAUUUGCAGCCAUGUUCUCUGCUGUUUGGUUAAGAUUUGUCAGCAUUACUUGCCUGUUCUAGUACGCAGGGACAUCAUGCAGGGUUGGACUAGAAGACCCUUGGGUACCUUCCAACUCUAUGAUUCUAUGUGUUAUUUGAAACAUCUAUUUCAACAUAUUUCUGUGCCUUUUCCUAUCCAAAAUAUGCUAGGCAUUUGCUAACUUCAUUCUACCCUGCAUACCUUUUCUUCUUCUUCCUAGCACAGGUAUAUCUGUGGUGGCAUAAUUAAAAUACUUAUGGUGGCUGUUCCACUUGAAACACCCCACAAAGGUGCUAUACAUCAUAUACAUGGUAUCCAUUUUUCAAGACAAUCUAUAACACUUCCUUUAAAACUAGAAGCCGAGAGCCAGUCUGGUGUAAUGGUUAGAGUGUUGGAACAGGACCUGGGAGACCACAAAGUUUGAAUCCCCAUUCAGCCAUGAAGCGCACUGAGUGACCUUGGGCUAGUCACUAUCUCAUAGCCUAGCCUAUCUCAUAGGGUUGGUGUGAGGAUGAAAAGGGGAGGAAGAGGAGGACAAUCAUCUAUGCCACCUAGAGAUCCUUGGAAGAUAAAGGUGGUAUAUAAAUGCAAUAAAUAAAUAAAAUGAAAGCUGUAUCCAAUGUUACUCCUACUCAAAGUAAACCCACUGAAAAUAAUGAACAUGACUAACAUGGGUCUAUUCAUUUAUCUACUCCAAGUAUUAGCUAUAUCUCUGUUCCAUCACUCAUAUUCAGUUGAAGUUUCACUUUUAUCAAUUGUUGUGCUAAGUCAUUGAAACAAAAUGUUUCAGUUGCAUGCUCUGCAAUUCCCAAGACACCUACAAAUUGUCAGGAUUGGUGUGUUUUUUAUUCAGCUCUGUCAAGCAGAUGAAACUGUAAAGCUGUGCAAAGAGUAACAAAACCAGCAAGAAGCUAAUGACUUUCUAAGCAAUCAUCAUUUUAUCUCAGUCAAAGCCCAAAAGGCUUCUUAGGCACACACUCUGCAUUGACUCCACUUUCAGAAACACUAAGCUCAUUCUCUAAAGUCAAAAUUGUGUGGAUAAUCAAUCAGCUUCGAGGAACUUCAAUAUGCUCUAACCCAGUCAAAUUAAACAAAACAGGCAGGAAAUAAAGCAGAAUUAUUCCAAAAUUCUAAUUGGGGAGCAUGUUCAUCUGAUUGCCAGCUCCUAAGGUUUAGGAUCUAAGGGAUCACUAUUAUUUGUUAUUUGUGUGAGCACUCUGCUAUUCCGUUCCUGUUCUGGACUCUGUGCAACUUGAAUUCCUAUGAAUAGGUUGUCAUUGGAGGAUACAACUAGGUAAGAUUAAAUACAUAAUGUGAAAUAUCCAAUUUUUUUAGUCUAUAAACUCUGAGUUCUACCCAAAGUUGUCUUCCCUACUUCUGCCUGAUAGUCAUUAUUGGCAUUUUUAUCCAAGGUUCUCAUCACUUUCAAAUCCAAGAAUUCAUUAGUUCCUCUUUCCUCACCCCAAUAUAUCUGUUCCACACAAUGAGUGGUAUGCAACUAAGUUUUAUUCAGAGUAGAUUUAUUUAAAUUAAUAGACCUAACUUAGUCAUAUUAAUUGAUUUCAAUGUGUCUACUCAGAGUAAACCUUGAAAAUCAAACUAUAAAAGAAGUAAACAGGCAGGAACUUGGGAUACCCAGUUGCCUCAAAAUCAGCAAUAAUGAACACCAUGAGGUUUCUUGAAACUGGGCAUCCUAUGAUGUUAAUUUUCUUUACUAGUAAUGUGUUCCACAUCAACAUAUACUUAACCUAACCAAAUAAGAUUUGAGAGAAAUAGGAAUGCCUGCUUGGUCUCUUUAGAACAUCAUUCUCUUUCUUGAAUCCCAGCUGAAAAUGUAUCAUUGUAGUGAAUGUGAUAUUGUCAUAAUAUUUAAUUGAUUUGUCUGUGUAACAAAACCAUGAGACAAAAAUAAAAGCCAAUGAAGACUGA
Molecule: non-coding RNA, 2864 nt
Organism: Podarcis muralis (Common wall lizard)
Lineage: Eukaryota; Metazoa; Chordata; Lepidosauria; Squamata; Lacertidae
Source: RefSeq, a predicted model, not a curated record